GACGAACGCUGGCGGCGUGCUUAACACAUGCAAGUCGAACGCUGAAGCCCUUUCGGGGGUGGAUGAGUGGCGAACGGGUGAGUAACACGUGGGUAAUCUGCCCUGUACUUCGGGAUAAGCCUUGGAAACGGGGUCUAAUACCGGAUAGGACCUGUCCUCGCAUGGGGGUGGGUGGAAAGUUCCGGCGGUAUGGGAUGAGCCCGCGGCCUAUCAGCUUGUUGGUGGGGUAGUGGCCUACCAAGGCGACGACGGGUAGCCGGCCUGAGAGGGUGACCGGUCACACUGGGACUGAGACACGGCCCAGACUCCUACGGGAGGCAGCUGGGGGGAAUCUUGCGCAAUGGGCGAAAGCCUGACGCAGCAACGCCGCGUGGGGGAUGACGGCCUUCGGGUUGUAAACCUCUUUCGACAUCGACGAAGGGGCCCUGUUGUGGGGUUUUGACGGUAGGUGUAGAAGAAGCACCGGCUAACUACGUGCCAGCAGCCGCCGUAA
This 493-nucleotide ribosomal RNA is filed under the name uncultured bacterium. Its description in RNAcentral is "partial 16S ribosomal RNA". It matches the Rfam family "Bacterial small subunit ribosomal RNA", at positions 28 to 523 of the family's 1533-position model. The record is from RNAcentral.